UGCAGAGUAGGUGGCAUGCGUUAAGUGCUAAGGGAUGGGAAGUUGCCCUUAGACGAAAGGUUUAUCCUGCGAUAUGUCACCGCAUCCACUGCC
This 93-nucleotide non-coding RNA is filed under the name Dethiobacter alkaliphilus. Its description in RNAcentral is "THF-I sequence". It matches the Rfam family "THF (Tetrahydrofolate) riboswitch aptamer". From Rfam's summary of the family: THF riboswitch presents a pseudoknot that joins P1-P2 and the loop of P3 and two THF binding. Lineage: Bacteria; Bacillati; Bacillota; Dethiobacteria; Dethiobacterales; Dethiobacteraceae. The record is from RNAcentral. RNAcentral also lists the same sequence under 1 other name.